This 465-nucleotide ribosomal RNA is filed under the name uncultured bacterium. RNAcentral describes it as "bacterial SSU rRNA". It matches the Rfam family "Bacterial small subunit ribosomal RNA", at positions 329 to 792 of the family's 1533-position model. The record is from RNAcentral.
GACCAGACUCCUACGGGAGGCAGCAGUGAGGAAUAUUGGUCAAUGGGCGGGAGCCUGAACCAGCCAAGCCGCGUGAAGGAAGAAGGCGCCAAGCGUCGUAAACUUCUUUUGUCGGGGAACAAAGGGCGCCACGUGUGGCGUUGUGAGUGUACCCGAAGAAAAAGCAUCGGCUAACUCCGUGCCAGCAGCCGCGGUAAUACGGAGGGUGCGAGCGUUAUCCGGAUUUAUUGGGUUUAAAGGGUGCGUAGGCGGUCCGGAAAGUCAGCGGUCAAAUUGCGGGGCUCAACCCCGUACUGCCGUUGAAACUGGCAGUCUCGAGUUGGAGAGAAGUAUGCGGAAUGCGCGGUGUAGCGGUGAAAUGCAUAGAUAUCGCGCAGAACUCCGAUUGCGAAGGCAGCAUGCCGGCUCCACACUGAUGCUGAGGCACGAAAGCGUGGGUAUCGAACAGGAUUAGAUACCCCGGUA